CAAACUGAAGAUGGCGACCGGCGCACGGGUGAGUAACACGUAUCCAACCUGCCGAUAACUCGGGGAUAGCCUUUCGAAAGAAAGAUUAAUACCCGAUGGCAUAAUAGAACCGCAUGGUUUGAUUAUUAAAGAAUUUCGGUCAUCGAUGGGGAUGCGUUCCAUUAGGUUGUUGGCGGGGUAACGGCCCACCAAGCCUUCGAUGGAUAGGGGUUCUGAGAGGAAGGUCCCCCACAUUGGAACUGAGACACGGUCCAAACUCCUACGGGAGGCAGCAUG
Molecule: ribosomal RNA, 276 nt
Filed under: uncultured bacterium
Lineage: Bacteria
Description: partial 16S ribosomal RNA
Rfam family: Bacterial small subunit ribosomal RNA
Source: RNAcentral